AGAGUUUGAUCAUGGCUCAGAUUGAACGCUGGCGGCAGGCUUAACACAUGCAAGUCGAGCGGGGGAAAGUAGCUUGCUACUGGACCUAGCGGCGGACGGGUGAGUAAUGCUUAGGAAUCUGCCUAUUAGUGGGGGACAACAUUCCGAAAGGAAUGCUAAUACCGCAUACGUCCUACGGGAGAAAGCAGGGGACCUUCGGGCCUUGCGCUAAUAGAUGAGCCUAAGUCGGAUUAGCUAGUUGGUGGGGUAAAGGCCUACCAAGGCGACGAUCUGUAGCGGGUCUGAGAGGAUGAUCCGCCACACUGGGACUGAGACACGGCCCAGACUCCUACGGGAGGCAGCAGUGGGGAAUAUUGGACAAUGGGGGGAACCCUGAUCCAGCCAUGCCGCGUGUGUGAAGAAGGCCUUAUGGUUGUAAAGCACUUUAAGCGAGGAGGAGGCUACUAGUAUUAAUACUACUGGAUAGUGGACGUUACUCGCAGAAUAAGCACCGGCUAACUCUGUGCCAGCAGCCGCGGUAAUACAGAGGGUGCGAGCGUUAAUCGGAUUUACUGGGCGUAAAGCGUGCGUAGGCGGCCAUUUAAGUCAAAUGUGAAAUCCCCGAGCUUAACUUGGGAAUUGCAUUCGAUACUGGAUGGCUAGAGUAUGGGAGAGGAUGGUAGAAUUCCAGGUGUAGCGGUGAAAUGCGUAGAGAUCUGGAGGAAUACCGAUGGCGAAGGCAGCCAUCUGGCCUAAUACUGACGCUGAGGUACGAAAGCAUGGGGAGCAAACAGGAUUAGAUACCCUGGUAGUCCAUGCCGUAAACGAUGUCUACUAGCCGUUGGGGCCUUUGAGGCUUUAGUGGCGCAGCUAACGCGAUAAGUAGACCGCCUGGGGAGUACGGUCGCAAGACUAAAACUCAAAUGAAUUGACGG
Molecule: ribosomal RNA, 914 nt
Filed under: uncultured bacterium
Lineage: Bacteria
Description: bacterial SSU rRNA
Rfam family: Bacterial small subunit ribosomal RNA
Source: RNAcentral